Molecule: long non-coding RNA, 737 nt
Organism: Cebus imitator (Panamanian white-faced capuchin)
Lineage: Eukaryota; Metazoa; Chordata; Mammalia; Primates; Cebidae
Exons: 3
Source: RefSeq, a predicted model, not a curated record
UUAUCCUACUUUGCUAAACAUUUCAUUAAACAAAACCUCAAGAAGUACUGAAAAACCAAACAAUACCUAAACCCAAAAUAAAUAAAUGAAUAAAUAAGCACACACAGAUACAUCUCUACAAGAAGAAAAAUGAGGAUUCAUGAUCGUAUUUCAGAAGACAAACAACUGGAUGUUGUUUUGUAGCAAAAAAAUGUCGUGCAGGGAGUCAGAAGUAGUUUUCCAUUCUGUUUCUGGUGUCAACUACCUCUCUGACACCAGCAAAUAGUUUAGUGUACCUCUACUUCCAUUUCCUCAUCUGAAAAAUGAGGAUUGGUCCCCAGUGCCUUAUUUAGUUCAUUUGGUGAAGUCAUGAUUUCCUGGAUGUUCUCAAUGCUUGUUCAUGUUCAUUGGUCUCAGGGCAUUGACGAGGCAGGCACUAAUUUAUCAGUCCUUAUGUGGCACCAAAUCUGAACACAGCCAGAUAUAGAUGGUCUGUGAUAGAAGAAACCAGAUGGUCUCACUGACCUCACCCCAGGUACUGUGCUUUUGAUAUUAUUCUAGAAUGUGGUCUUUAUAAUUUGGUUUCUGUAGCAUCCCAGGGACAAGUUCACAUGUGCUGGUGUGAGUUUCAUUUUGCAUGUGCUGCUUUAUCAUGAACAUGGAAGACAUACUAGGUUUCUGUAGUAGAAACACUCCAGCCUCUUCCAAAGCAGAAGGCCCUGGGCUGUGGACCUUCAAAGAGAAGCAAACAUACAGAG